This 2089-nucleotide long non-coding RNA is filed under the name Equus asinus (donkey). RNAcentral's name for it is "lncRNA (ENSEASG00005031818.1)". Lineage: Eukaryota; Metazoa; Chordata; Mammalia; Perissodactyla; Equidae. The record is from RNAcentral.
CUCAAAUUGGCCAGUGAAAGGUUCUUCAAAUUGGCUCCUGUACCCUUUUGACAUGAUGUUAGUCCUUGAUUGCUUCGUUGUUUUUGGUAUAAGACAUGCCAGGAUCAUUUCGUAAAUUUCCUGACCCACACCUGGAAUCAGCUAAUUGCUUGAAGAAACUUGGCAUUUAGAGACUACAAUCUGGGUGCUAGGCAUACUCAUUGCCACUUGGUUUUUCAGUGAACAGAUCCAGGAAAUAAGUUUUUUUUAAUGCAUAAGAGAAAUAGAUCUAAAACAUGGUCCUUCUCUUUGUUAAAAUACUAAAAUAUUUGGCUUUUGGUAUGGAAGCUUAUAGGAGGGUUACUUCACAUAGAGGGAAGGUGGAUGUCAAGGAAGGCGUCCUCAAGGAGAUAGCACUUGAUCUCAGCUUUGAAGAAUAAAGUGAAGCGAGGGUACUUUCAUGAGUUGUCUGUUUCAGUCAUAUAUAUGCUAUGCGUUUGUCUUUGCACCAGUGACCUGACCAGUAUGAGCCUCAGUUUCCUCAUCUAUAAACUUGUAACACUCAACAUACAUUUUGCUUCUCUUCAGGUUUUCUCUGUCAGCAAUAAUACAGUAGUAAAACUGCAAGGAAUAUCACUGUGUCUAUACACUUGUGCAUUUGUCCAUGUAUUUUGAUGGGAUAAGAUUCCUCGAAGGGAAAUUGCUGAGUUCAAUAUGUACAUAUUAACACUUAGUUAUAGUUACUGCCAAACUGCCAUCAGAAAAAGUUAUAAAAAUUUACAUCUUUUACCACCAGGAGGCUAGUCCCCCCAUUUCUUCACACCCACAAUAAUGAAAUCUUAAAACUAAAUUAUUUUCAUUUAUUUAGUAUCACAUUGUUUUGAUUCCUUCCCAGAAUAUCAGAGAAAGUUAAUUUAAAUGUUUGCUUCUUAAAAGUAUGGAAUUAACAUGAUGACAUUUUUAAGAUAUUUUCAGCACUUUUGGAACCUAGAAACUUAUUUUAUAAUGGAGCUUUCUAAUCCUUUACUAUAGAAUAAUAAUUUUCCAUAUUUUGAAAAGUAAUUCAAAGUCAGGAUGCCCAGCAAUCACCUACUCUGCUUCCUACCAGCUGCAGGAAGAAAACACUUCCUGAUUUCCCAUUUCUCUCACUCUCUCUCUCUCUUUUUUUUUGUUUGGAAUGUGAUCUGGAGAUCUGGAUUAGAAAGAAAACAUUCCUAAAGUAGUUUGGGAGCCUUCUAAUUUUACCAGCCUUUUUCUACCUUAUAUGACUUUAUUACCUCAUUCGCCAUUCGUUGUGGACACUUCCAUGUUAUUUGAAAGUGGCUAAACGUUCUUCAACUACAAAUUCACCUAUCGCAAAGGCCGCUAUAGAAGUUCCAACAAGCUCUGUGCUACUUCUGAGGAGAGAGGGUCUGAAUAUUGGGAAAAAGGUAAUGUUCAUUUGGAAAAGUUAAAUACACUAAAAGUUAUAUUUUCUAAAAUUCUUCAAUGAGGAAAGCAGUAUUAUCUCAAAAGAGAAGAGGUUCAUUGACUCAGUAUUUUGACAUGAUUGUUCUUAGAGUCAUUCAUAAGGAAGGACAUCUGAUGUAGUGAGUGUAAACGCUGGCUUUGGAGACUAGCAAUCCUAUCUUGACUCUCACCUACUAGCAGUGUGACUUAGGCUAUUCUUUCUUAACCUCAAGUUCCUCACCUGAAAAAGUGGACAUAAUAAUGCCUCGUAAGGAUUUUGUUACAACUAAAUGAGAUAAUUCAUGUUAAAUGCUAAUCACAAGCUUAAUAGAUUUCACGUGCUAUUAAGUGUUAGCUUACCUUUGUGGAAGUACUGUGCUCAUGAUUGGCAACAUAAUGUGUUUGGUUUAAAGGGAAGAUAUGAUUAAAAUUUUCAAUCGUAAUGCCUAAAGGGCAAAUUUAAAAUGAGUUGUGGUUUUAAAAAUAAUGUAUUAAGGAAGAAUUACAUCCUUUUGGUUUCUGCAGAGAAUUAAGUAAGUGUAAAAUGGACACCAGCUGCAAUCUUAUUUGCAGGUAUUAUCAAGAUUCAAAAAUGUAUUGUGGGCAGGUAAUCCAUUUUUUUGCGAAGUUUUCAAGGAAAUAGCCAAAAGAAAAAAAAAGG